CCGAGUUGAUAACCUCUGAAUAUCUCCGGAAAUGUAUUAUGACGACAUAAAAAGCAUCGACUGAUAAGCUUAUAAAAUACAUCAUGUAGUUAAGGUUUGUACUGCGGCAAGGGGUAAACACGCAGGAGAAUAGAGCUUUUGUUGAAUUUACGACUGUGACCGUUGUUUCUUGAAAAACUGUUUGUUUCAAUGACUAUGAUGUUUUUCUUAUUCUCAAGUUGGAGUGGCUAUACAUCAAUUUGGCUCGAACAUUAAAUCAAUCUAUACUUGAAGUGGAAAUGAUUCAAAGGUUAAGAAAAAGAGCAGCGAAUUAACUUUUUGUCACAGGUAAGAAAUACAUAUAAAGAAAACACACAAAUAUCUGCAUUCUUGCUCAGUUAGCGAUCGUAAGAAAUGAUCAAUUAAUAAUCAGUAGGAUCAACUCAUUGAUCUCAAUGGUAUUAUUACGAAUACUGUAUUUAGAGAAGCGUAUUUCUCGAUGUACCUGCAAGAUUUUUUUUGCGACGUCUUCAUUAAAUAUAUUAAAAUUACUUCAGCUGCUCCACAAAAAGAAAAACUCAUGGACUUUGGUGCAGGUAAUAUGAUUCCCUUACGGAGUCUCAACGAUAAUCAGCAGAGGAUCUCACCUGGAACAGAAAACACACAAAAACCCCACCGAUCAAAAUUUUGAGGGAGAAGGCUUGAACCUUGCAACUGUCGUUAGAGGGAAACGGAAGCUCGUCAGCUUGGCAGCAGCCGAGACACAAAAGGACCGAAAACCGGAGGAGCUUUCUUUCUCACGACCGGAACGGAAACCAGGCCUGCCAACUUGUAGCAGAUGAAAAAAACGCUCAUUCCGGACCAUCGACCGACACUUUCCAAAGGACGCAAUCACAAUCAGCCGCGUGCCUCUUUAGGUAUCGGUAACUAAAAAGUCUCGUGCGUUUCUACACCAAUGAACUGCUCCUUCCGAAAUAAAACUAAAUCAAGCGUAGAGAAAAUUUAAUGAAGAGAGCUAGCCAUGUAAUCGGGUGUAUGGCAAAAUUCAAAUUCGGAAGUCAACGCUUUUUUUAGCCGUACCACGUAUGGAUUACAUUUAGCAAUAAGGGACCAAUAUUUCAGGCUCUCCCAUAAAAGCACUUAACUGCAAAGGGAAACCAAUGUCAUGUAUGUUGUUUCUAAAAUGGGCGAGAAAUAGUGGGUCCUUAUUCCAAAGUGUAAUCCGUAUGAUGGUUGAUGAGCAACUUGUUGAGGGAGAAUUCAAUUAGAAUUCGCCUCAUGAUGUCUGAUGGACAUCGUGAUGAGAACUUUGCUUCCUGGGCGAGUUUUAAUAAUCUUGGGUCACUUAGGAAUUAAUUUUCAUUGAGUUUGAGUGAACUUGUUAGUAAAUUUUGAAAGUGUUUCAUUUGCGUUUACCGUGAAGUGAUGAGAAAUCAUUUGUAUUUUAUUUCUUAUCAGGGGUUCAUUUUGGAAUACGAGGAGUAUUUAACGAAACAUGGGACAGGAUACGCAUCCCGAGAUGCAAAAUUUCAUGAAACUUAAUGAAAUGAACUGUUUUAAAACUUCAGCCAUGUACUCUACAUGCCAUGAAACGCAGCAGUAAGUAAAAUCUUCGUUCAGGAAUUUUUCUUUAAAAAAUAUAUUAAUCUAAAAAAAGAAAAAAUUAAAUAAAAAUUGAUGGUUCUGAUUGAAUUCUGUCAUGAUCGUUGCAGGUUCCAUACCUAUGCCGCCCCUAAAACCAAUUUAUUGUAUUUUUGCAAUUAGUAUUGAUUUUAUAUUGAUUGAAUUUUGCCUGGAUUCUUCACAAAAUUACUUUUAUCACAUAAAAUUGAUCAGCUUAUGAUGACAUACCGAGGCAUUUUGGCUGAGACCAUCUUCAGGGGGUAGUUGAACAAUUAUAAAUUACAAGACGAAGUAGCAUUAACAUGGCACAACAGUAAAAUAAAAAUGCAGAAAAAGCACGUGCUAAAAACACGUUGAAAUUUUAUGACAAAUAAAAUUUCACUCUUCAGCGAAAUGAGAUUUUUGGUGAAAUUGAAUUUUGUAUCUCUUUACGCGCCCGGAGAAGGCAUGCACGAAACGGCGUAACGUCCAAUGGCGAGGCGUGAAUGAUCGAUUAUCGAUAUUAUCCCAUUUGAAGCUGAGGUAAAGAUUCGAUCAUUCAGGUGUCCAUUGCAGACACCCUGUCUAUCGAUCCUUUUCCAUAGGCUUUACGGCAGAUCAAUCGAUAUAUCGACACACACAUCGAUGUACGCCACACCACUAGUCGCUUUGCAUCGUGACGAAGGCGACUCGAGUGUUACGACUCCGUUCUUCCCAGUAGAAUAACGACCGCCGCUAAUUCGACAAUAAACCUGACGCUGAACACCUCUUCAAACGCAAAAAAGAGAGUGAAAAUCAUCGACGCGAGCGCGGCGUAAGGACUCUUAGCGAGGUGCGUGCCUUUGUGUUAAAAACGGAUUGAUCAGCGAUUAAAAAUGGAGAGCUAUGCCUUUCGCCGUGGAGAGAGCUCCUUGUAAGAGUCCACGACGGCAGAGUGACGAAAAUGGAAGGGGACUGAGUCUUUCAGCUGGAAAUUUCGGCUACUGAAGGAUGCUGAUAAAGUUCGAGGGUCCUCAAAAAGAAGUGGCUGUUAGCGAUCGAAUUUCAGAUGAAACACAAGCAACUCUUCUAGACGAAUUAAGACUGAACGGGUUCUCGAUGAGUUUACGCUGGAAGACAGACUAAAUGAAUUUUUUUACUUAUUUCUACUGCACAAUAAUAACUGAAGAAUCCUCAGUAUCUACCACUUGGUAACUUUUCCAAAAAUACCUGAUGGCGGGAUGAAUAAACUAGAGAGCUAAUAAUUCCUCGUCAGACAAGAAAAUCCAAGAUCCAACAGGCAAAAUCAAAUGGAAACAGAGUGCGAGUCUAACACAAAUUUUUAAUUGUUCAAACAAAUAAUGGACCUUCACCAAACGCGGUGAGGUGACUUUAAAGCCACGCCAGUUUCCCUUCAAUUUUUGGUAGGCAACACGAGCUCAUACAUGGUGGAAUAGUGGUGUCACCGAGAACUGACCUUUACCAAACGUGAAGAGGUGACUCUCACAUCAUUCCACUUGCCUUCAAUUCUUGGGUUGGCAACACGAGCUCCCGCACCUGUUCGAAUAGUGGUAUCAUCGUAAAAUGGCACAGUUACUCGAAGCGCACACAAAAAGAAGACCUUUACAAAUCACGAGGAGUUGAUUUUAACUUACUGAGUUUGCCUUCAAAUUCCAGUGUGGUAGCCCACGACAUGUUUUUUUAAAUAUGUCAGUGGGCCGAUUGUUGAAAUUGAUAGACAAAACUAUAGACAAAGGAGACAACAGGGAUAUGGAGGGAUCCUAUUGGUGGAAGCGGAUGGUUGGAAUAAACAUAGGAGGUAGGUGAUGGGGUACCUAACGGCAACCCGCAAGAGACCUUAUAGUUAAUCAAUCAUUUUCUUUCUUAGUCUAUAUAUAUAUAUCAUUCAUUUCAACCAAUAGUAUCAUUCCAUACUUCUCGUGUCUUCUUUGCCGCUUCAGCCCGCUGCGGGCUGAUUGUUUAAAUUGAUAGACAAAACGAUAGAGAGAGAAAACAAAGGGAGUAUGGAGCGAUCCUAUUGGUAGAAAUAGUUGGUUCCUAUAGACUGAGGGAGAAAAAGAUGGACUAACAAAGGGUCUUUCGUGGGUUGCCGUUAGUUACUCUAUUACCUUCCUCCUUGGUCCAUUGCAACCACCCGCUUCCACCAAUAGAAUCUCUCCAUACGUCUUUUGUCUCCUUUGUCUAUAGCUUUGUCUACCAAUUUCAACAAUCCCUCAGUUACCGUCAUCUUCCAAAAGAGGAAUUUAUUCGCACUUAAACCAUGUUGGAACCCAAAUUUGGCAACUGAUACGAAACUAGUUGUAAGUUAUCAUAACCAGGAUCAAUUUGACCCAUGGGCCGAGGACUCAGGUUUCGAGCCUCCCGCUGGGGUCCACUUUAACAUGAAGACUCUUCAUAUUUCAGCUCCUCUCCGUCCCUGCAAUGAGUUGCGGUUAUUGAUUUACCAGAGGGUCUCACAAGGACGCGGACGCUAAAAGAGUGAUGGUUCUCUUUCCGUGCGUAUUAAGCGAAUGUGUUAGAGAUAAUUUGAUUUAAUUAAUUUCGUUAACUCUUACUUUUUUCAACGAACGCCUGCUUUCGCGACUGAGCU
RNAcentral lists this long non-coding RNA (4171 nucleotides) under Bemisia tabaci. RNAcentral's name for it is "lncRNA ENSSSA1NGG004416". The record is from RNAcentral. Lineage: Eukaryota; Metazoa; Arthropoda; Insecta; Hemiptera; Aleyrodidae.